GGCGCUGUAGUGUAGCGGUUAUCACUCGAGAUUCUGAUAUUGUCUGUCACGAGAUAAUUUCUCGUAACCCAGGUUCGAUUCCUGGCAGUGCCU
This 93-nucleotide transfer RNA is filed under the name Asterophora parasitica. It matches the Rfam family "tRNA". Rfam says of the family: Transfer RNA (tRNA) molecules are approximately 80 nucleotides in length. The record is from Rfam by way of RNAcentral. Lineage: Eukaryota; Fungi; Basidiomycota; Agaricomycetes; Agaricales; Lyophyllaceae.